UGACAGUUGAUAGACAAGGAAUUUGAGGCU
RNAcentral lists this non-coding RNA (30 nucleotides) under Rattus norvegicus (Norway rat). Lineage: Eukaryota; Metazoa; Chordata; Mammalia; Rodentia; Muridae. The record is from RNAcentral.